AAAAAAAACAGAACCAAAUCAAUCACCUUUCAAAAUGUUUUUUUUCUUUUCUUUCGUAUUUCUUCAAUAUUUCAAUACAAUAUUUUUCUCCCCCUUUUACAGAUUUCUAUUUGGCUUUAAUAGCCGAAAUAAGGGAGCCAAAACUCUCAAAAACUGUUCUCCUUUUUUUUUACAUUUUUCCUUGUAUUUUUCUACUAUUGUUCGUGGCCGUGGUUUGUUGUUUUCUGCAGGAAGAACGUGCUGGAGCGCGGGACAACGUGUGCGAUGUGCAAGGGCGACGUGGGGCAGAAGCGGUUGCUGUGACGCCAAGGCUAGGAAGAAGGCUGCUGCUGAAAACUCUAGGGUUUCCAAAUUUUUCAGUUUUGGGCUGAUUUGGAUUGUAGGGUAAUCCGGCUGGUGAAAUCGGGCCACAUCCAUGUAAAAAUGGACUAUUUAAUUUUUUAUUUGGGCUUCAUUUUUGGUCUAUAAUAUGGACAUUAUUUGAAUUUGUUCUGUUUUCUACUUAUGCGGGCCCGAGCCCAAAAUUGGGUAUUACAGCUGCCCCUCUUUGCUCGUUGUGUGUAACGAGAACAGAGUAAAGACUAAAAAACCCAAUUGUGCCCGGUCACGCUAGCCCUUAGUGCUUUUCUUCUUCGAGUAGCCUCAUUCCAUCCUACUGCAUCCUCAAAGGUGUAGGAACUAGUGCUUCGAUCCACUCCACUGCAACGUUAGAGAGAUAGGAAUUGUAUCUUGUAGCUUCUCAGAAGAAUAAAAUUUGCUAUCUUUAGUCUACUCCACUGCAACUUUAGGGAGAUAAGACUAAAUGCGAUCUGCUCUCUGCAACAUCAGAAAGAUAAGAUUUGUAUGUUUUAAUCCACUCCACUACAACCUCAGGGAGAUAGGAUUUGGGUCUUCAGUCUGCUCCACUGCAACUUCAGGAAGAUAAGAGUUGAUGCGAUCUGCUCUCUGUAACCUCAGAAAAAUAAGACCUGGAUGUUAAUCCGCUCUACUGUAACUUUAGGGAAAUAGUAUUAUUUACUUCAAUUUGUUUAACUGCAAUGUCGGGGAAACAAGAUUCGCUGUCGCGACUUCAAUCUAUUCCACUACACCGCCAGGGAAGUAAGAUCCACCGUUGUGGCUACAAUAUUUUUAAUUACAAUGUCGGGGAAACCAGAUCCACCGUCGUAGUUUCAAUCUGUUCCACUGCACUGCCAGAAAAGUAAGAUCUGCUGUUGUGGCUUCAAUCUUUUUAAUUGCAAUGUCGGGGAAAUUAGAUUCACCAUCGUAGCUUCAAUCUAUUCCAUUGCACCGCUAAGGAAGUAAGACUCACCGUUGUGGCUUCAAUCUUUUUAAUUGCAAUGCCUGGGAAACAAGAUCUGCUGUCAUAGCUUCAAUAUGUUCCACUGCACCGCUAAGGAAGUAAGACUCACCGUUGUGGCUUCAAUCUAUUUAACUGCAAUAUCUGGGAAACAAGAUCCACCGUCGUAGCUUCAACCUGUUCCACUACAUCGCCAGGGAAGCAAGAUUCGCCGUAGUGGCUUCAAUUUGUUCCACUGUAAUGCCAAAGAGACAGGAUUCGUUGCCCACAGCUUUAAUCCACUCCACUUCAGCUAAUCCAAGUCUUAACGCCAGGGAGAUAAGAUUCACCGUCGUGGCUUCAAUCUGCUCCGCUACAACGCUAGGGAAGUAAGAUUCGCCAUUGUGGCUUCAAUCUAUUCCACUGCAAUGUCAAGGCAAUAAGACUAGUGUCUUCGAUCUGCUUCGCUGCCAGUACAGGAAGGCAAGAUCUCUCAUUUUCAACCUACUCCACUGCUGCUCAUGGAGAUAAGGCUGGUAUCUUAGAUCUACUUUACUGCCAAUACAGGAAGACAAGAUCUGCUAUUUUCAACCUACUCCACUGCUGUUCAGGGAGAUAAGGGUUUAUGGUUUCACCGGUUUGUUCUUUGGGUAACAUGGCCUGUAUAAUUCAAUCUAUGAACCUAAUUAUGCCUAGUGAUUAGGAUGUCAUAAUCAAAAUGAAUCAAAUGCUCCUAACUAGACGUGUAUGAAUGACAUUUGAAUGAAUGUAGAAUAUUAUUUUUUCGAGAAUGAUCUUUCUUUAUCGCUUAAGUCGUCAUUACUCAAGGUAUUAAGAUUUUAUCACUGAUAUGCUACAACGCCUUCUUGCUCGGCUGGCAUCUCCGAAGAAACACUUAAUCAAACAGCCCCCACUGUAACUUCAAAGUUCAAUCUACUGGGAUGCAAAAUUUGUACCAUCUUUCUCUCGCUGUAACCCAAGGGUAGAAAAAUCUGGUGUUUUCUCAAUCCUCUCCUAUCACAGUUCAAGGAUACAAAAUGUGAAGCUCUUUGGUCCUUUACACCAUUCCCAGGGUGUCAUACCAAAUGCCUAUGCACAAAUAAAGGCUUUCUUCUCCGAGGAAACCUCUUCCUAUUGCUUGGUGAUCAUUGUUUGCUUGUUCAUUUGAAGCCUUAUCACUGACACGGCAUCUUGUCAUUUUGUUCAAUAAAUUUUUUGGCAACAAAAUCUGAAGGGAUAGUCUUAAUUUAGACUUUUCCUUCCUAGAUAUUUUAACCUUUAAACUUGGUGCGUUCUAAACAAUAAUCCUAUUUCAGGUUCCCGUAUUAUUUAGAAACCUCUAAAGUAAUAUGUAAAACUUCCCUUGUGAAAGUUUUAUUAGUCCAUUAAUCGUUAUUCUAAUGCAACAUGCUUGCAAAAAGAACCAAACGAUGGAUAAAAUAGAAUUGAUUUGAGAGUAUAGCUCGAAAUGAAUAAAUUAUGAAGAAUAUUGAGAAUAAAAGAGGAAUUGACUUGUAUCUUGAAAAAGAAUGAAGUAUUCCAAGAAUAAGCAAGUAUAAAUAGUAUAAAGACUAGGUGCCCCAGAAAUCGCAGCUUGAACUUCUCUGUACAAACUUGCUGAAGACCAUUCUGAGUUUGACAUGUGUUUAGCAGAUCUACAGUACUCUGUCGAUGCCCCAAGAUGUCGCAUACCCUUUCCUGCUGAUUCAAGUAUAUCAAGACCACCACAUGCCUCAUUCUGAUCAAAAUCUGAGCCACUCUGAUCACUUUCUGCCCUAUUCUGAUCAAAAUUUGAGCCGCCCUUUUCGGGUUUUCAACUCAAAUCCCCUUUGGUCUAAGGCGCCCUUUACGGGUUUUCACGCUAGCCUCUCAAUUUUUACUUUUUCCAUUUUUCAUUUUUCAUUUUCAUUUUUUCAUUUUUUUUCAUUUCAUCAUUUUUUUUACGACUCAAAGUGCUCUUUACGGGUUUUUACCUUGGUCUUCUCUUUCUUUAAGCGAAGUAUUUCUUGACUGAAUCUGUGUUUACAGGAUUAGAUAAGUUUUUUACUAUCCACUCACUCAAGAUUAGUAUUCCUCUAGAAAAGGUCUUCUUUACAACAUAAGGACCUUCCGAAUUUGACACUCAUUUUUCUCUAUAAUCUUUCUGUAGAGGAAGGAUCAUUUUCAAUACCAGGUCUCCCUCGUGGAAUUCUCUGGGACGAACCUUUUUGUUGUAAGCUCGCAUCAUCCGUUUUUGGUACAGCUGACCGUGACGAAUAGCUUUUAGCCAUUUUCCUUCAAUUAGGUUUAACUAAUUAUAUCGAGAUUGGAUCUUCAUCCUAUUUCAGCUCAGCCAAUACCCGGAGAGAAAGAAUUUCAACUUCAAUGGAAAAAACCGUGAUAAGCUAAAGAGAAAGACAUUGCGUUGGUAGAGGUUUUUGUUUCUUUUUGUUUUUUGUUUUUUCUUUUUGUUUUUGUUUUUGUUUUCUUUUCUUUCCCUCUUUGUUUUUUGGAUUUAAUCUGCACUCAUAGGAUUAGGCAAGUCCUGGUCAUCCCUUUCGAUCAUAAUCAAUGUUAUUCCAGAUAAGGUCUUCCACAUAAAAUCUUUCACUUUUAUUUUGUAUGCGAAAGAUCUUUUUUAGUAUCAGGUUUCUCUCAUAGAGCCUUUUGGGGUGAAAUUUAACUAUGACAAAAAACUUUGGAUCUUUCUCUUCAAUUAGGAUGAAAUCUAAAAAAUACGGAGAAAUGACAACUUGACUUCAACGGGCAAAACUAUGAUGAGCCAAAGAAGAAGGCAUUGCCCCGACAAAGAAUUCUAACUGCAUCGUUCAUGAUGUUAGUCCUGAACAUACUGUAAAUUUUUGACGUCAUGCUGUUGCUCAGAUUACAAUAUCAGUGCUUAACCCGGGCAUGUCCUGGUAUGACCAUGCGAAGAUAUCUUUGAACCCUUAAAGUAACUCAACAAGGUCUUACUUUGUUUUUCCGGUUAUGCACGUUCUUUUAAGGUCACAAUCUCUAUUGUCUCCUCAGGAGGUAAAAAUUGUUUCCCUUCCUGUUCUACCAUCCUCAACAAGUCUGGAGAUAGGCCACGAUCUAUCUCAUCUUCAAAGUCAUGAGAUCCCUCUAAACACAUGUCUCACUCAAAAGGAGAUUCUAAAUCUGUAGCAGUGUCACUCAUGACAUUGAUAUUUGGGGACCUAUAGUAGGUACCAAAGAAUAUACAAAAGAAUGUAUGAAUUUAUGAAUAGUUAUUUGUACAGUAUGAUUAUGAAUGAAUGAAUGAUUUGGAAGAAAAUCCAAAAGAAUGAAAGAAUCCAGAAUUAUUCGUAAAGAAUGAAAAUAUUGGCUCAAAAUAAUCACAAAAAUGUAUUUCAUUAAAAUAAUAACGUUCAGACAUGAGCCUAUUUCACAAAGGUGUUUUUAUCACUUCUAGGCUAAAAAGCAAUAAGAGUGUUCUGAACGUUACUUUGAGUAAGCUCUAAAAACUACAGGAAUUUCCUCCGUAGUCCAAUUAUUUAGAACAUCUCCAAGUUGAUAAGGGCGAAUAUCUACAAGGACCCUUUUAAACUUCGUCUUCAUAUAUGGCAUUAAUGUGAACACUUCCCAACACUUAUUCAUACAUUGCAUUCACUCUAUUAUCAAUCAUGGUUGGGUAGCGAAUUUUCUGUACUGGACGAAUCAUCAAAUUGGACAACGCCUAUAUUAAUGAGUCUUUCAACUAUCUUUUUGAAUGCAAUGUAAUUUUCUAUCAAAUGCCCCGCAAUUUCUGCAUGGUAUUCACAUUGAGCAUUUGUAUUUAUACCAUUUAGGAAAUGGGGGCAACAUUGGCUUCAAAUAGAAGGGGGACACCACAUGUGCAUUAAAUAGACUUUGAUAUAGUUCGCUAUAUGACAUCGGUAUAGGCGUGAGCUGAGGCCCUUCUGUAUUUAUCUUCGUGUAAGAUCCUCGCUUUAAAGGGCUCUGAUGGCUAGUAGUAACCGUCUUUGGCUGGCUUGUGGCAAUCGACUUUGAAUAACCCUUGUAUAUCCACUCGCAUUAUUCACCUCAUUUUUCCUUUUCCUUGGGACGUUUAAAGUAUUAUUUGAGAGUUCCACUCUUGCCCUUUCUGCUUGUAACGAUCUUUAAAUUGUUUUGGGAACUCUACCCUCGCCUGUUCUGUUUCUGCUAGAUCAUAAAGGACAACAUGAUUAGUUAAAUUGCCCCUCGAGUUGGAACCUGAGCCAAUCUAAAAAUUCACUGGUGUCGAGGUGCUAGUCUGAUAUUGGGGUCGGAUGUUAACCAUUACCCUUUGUGGAUAUGCAUUUGGUUGUGCUUGUGUAUUUUUUGGGGUGAAGCUUGGAGGAUAUGUAGGGUCCUCAUUAUCAUCUCCAAUGUGAACCAUUGGGCUCUUUCCUCUUUCUAACCCUCUAGCCAAUAACUGGGUUAACUGGCACAUCAUAUUUCUUUGGAAUUCUAACAACUGAUCCCUUAUAUCUUGUUGAAAUUUGGUCAAUUGCUCCUGCAUCUGUAUUUGCAUUUACUCUAAUUUCUCCAACCUUUGGUCCAUUUCUCUAGUCUUUGCUUAGGUGCAGUAAAGGUAUUAGUUUUCCAAAUUAACUGAAACAAUUUUACUCAAUUAGGCUAUUUUAAUGGAUUUUAAUGCAUAUGAUGUCAUGUAAUGCAAAUGCAUGAAAUGAAUACAUAAAAAGACGUUGAUUCUGAUUCAAUUGCCUUUAGAAAACUUUACUAGAAGAUAAAUUUCUUUACAUAAAACGGAUACAUAUACGGUUUCGCCUUCGAUCAUCCGGAUAUUAAAAUGCAUCUUGCGAAUUUUUCAAUAGACAUCUACUAGCUUCUUUUGCUUGAUCCAGGUCGCAACUCCUUGCUCAUUCAUGCUCAUGAGCUUCUUUAAAAAGGUUGGGAUGUUUGACAACUCUUGAAUAAUCUUUGCUAACUUGAAUCUUCAGGCAACGUAGCAAGGUCGUAUACUCCUCUUGUUACACUUCUCGUAUCAUGUUUUCUUGGACUAUAUUCGGACAACCGUAUUGACUUCCACUUUAUCAAGAAAUCCGUUUUCCAUGACAAGCUCUCUAUUUAGCAAACAAACGUGAAUCAACACAUCUUUUCUAUGAUGAAAUGCCAUGCAGUCAAAAUGUCAUGUAGCCAAAAACAAAACAUAACAAGUUAGUAUCAGGUAUAAACGUUGAAUCCAAUACAAUCAAGAAAUAAUAAAACACUUAUUAGGGUAUCUACUAGGGUUCAGUGUAGUUCUACCUAGGGUGAGUUCCUAAGGUUCACUAUAUGAGGUUUGGCUUCUAGAGCAAAGGUACCCGAACCAGCAGAUUUCUCGAUCCUCACCCAUUAUAGGCUCAUAUGGACCGAGUUCAGUUCAGGGGAAUACAUUUCUCUAUGGCUGUACGGAGAUGAAAAUCUCACGAAGACAUAGGUACGGAUGUAUCCCAAAAGCGGUCCACUAUCCUGCACGGAGGUGAAAACCUCACGAAGGACUAGUUUAUCGCUUCCACUUAGAGGGGUAAAAUUGACCAACCUAUGCAAUGCAAAAUACAAAUACACAUUAACAUAUUUGGACCAACCAAACAAACAUAUUAUGAUCAAAAUCAUGAAAAUAAUGCAUAAGGGGGAAUCGUGAUUUUAAAACAAAUUUUGAUUGCUCGACCGAAAGACAAAAAUUAAUCAAUUUACGGCUCGACUCUCUAACCAGUCCCCAGCGGAGUCGCCAAGUUGUCGAAACCAAUUUUUUGAAAACAAAGAUUUAGUUGUCGACUUUAAAAAAUAAAAAUUAGAGUCGCCACCGAUCCUUGAUGGAGGUGUGAUCGGCUCACCUUAAAAACGGGUUUGGUCUACGAAACUUGAAAAAAUGGGUUCGGGAGCCAGUUACGCACGAGGAAGGGGUUAGCACCCUCGUAACGCCCAAAACCGGUACCAAUUUGAUCGUUUAAUGUCUUGGUGUCGAAAAUUUGAAAAGAUUUUAAAAGAAAACUUUUUUAUCCUGAAUGAAUUUAAAAAAUGAGACGUUCUUAUUUCAAAGAAUUUAAACGUCACACCCAGUAAGUUAGGGCGCAACAUUUUUAAUCUUCAAAAUUAAGUUUGUCUUUUGAUUUUUAAAACUCGUGCAUUUAAACCUAAGAAGGAUAUUCGGUUAUUUAGGUAAAAUGAAGAGAAUCGAAACCCAGUAAGUUAGCGUACAAUUUCUCAAAAUUCCAAAUACCAAACAUUGCCUUUAUAUAUUUACCUUUUUUAAAAAUUCUUAUUUCGAGAUGACAAAAUGUCAUGUCCAGUGAGUUAGGACCCAACAUUUUUGAAUUCCCGAGAAUAAGCUUUUAUUUGAAUCCGUGUGAUUUUAUUGCAAAAUAAAUACUUGGCUCUCUAAAUUCAUCGAAAAAACAAUCGAAAUCCAGUAAGUUAGGACAUGAUCUUUCUCGAGAAUCAUGAAUGCCAAAUAUCUUGAAAACUUACAAAAUAAGAUGAUUUUAAUGCUUUAAUAAAAACCAACAUUGUUUCCUUUAAAAGUAUGAUAAAAUGUUUAAUGUACAACAUGAAACCAAACUUUAAUUUAAAUUAUACAUGUAUAUGUACUAUAAAAUGUCAAUGCAUAUAUAUACACAUGUAUACAAAAAUUAUAAAAAUAAAAUAAAAUAAUAUAUAUAAAACAUAUACAUGUAUUUACAAAAAAAAUAAAAAAUUGUAUAAGUAUAAUAUAGUAGUAACUUAUGAAAAUAUGAAUAUAUAUGUAUAUAUAAAAAAAUGCGAAAAAUAUAUUUAAAAUAAUUUUGAAUAGUGUAUAAAUAUAUAUUAUAAAAAAUAUAUAUGGAUUAUAUGGUAUGGAAAAUGUAUAAAUAUUAUAAAAUAUAAAUGUAUAUACGUGUAUAUAUAUAAAGACUAAGAAAAUAAAAUAAUAGUAAAAUAUAUAAAAUAUGUAUAUGUAUUUAUUUAAAAAAACAUUUAAAAUAUAUACAUAUAUAUAUUAUAAGAUAUAUAUGCGUGUACAUACCUAUAGGCAUAAUAAUAAAAUAAUAUAAUAAUAAUUAAUAUAACAAAAUUAAUAAUAUAAAAAAAACUGAAAAAAAAACUAAAACAACAGAUUAGGGAUUAAAUUGAAAGUAAACAAAAACUCAGAGGCAGAUUUAAAAUAAAUAAAAUGCAAAUGGGCCAAAUAGAACAUGCGUUUAACAGUGGAGGACCAAAAGGGAAAUUAAUCCCUUCCUCCAAAACGCUGCGCAACAACCUGGAUUAAAUUGAAACAGUAAUAGAAUAUGCAGCAAAAUUUAAAAGAAAUAAAAAAAUUAAUUUAGACACAUUAUAAAACAAGGGGACUAAUCGCGUAAAUAAACCAGAGCAGUAAAAAACGCAGGUCUGGUCGGGUUCUGGGUCGGGUCACAUGGGAUAUUGGGUUACACUAAUACGGUGCCGUUUUUCAAACCAAAUAAAUCUCAUUCAAACCCUAAUCAAAACCCUAUUGCCCUUUUCAGCAACGGCAACCGCAAGGACUGCUUUCUCCCCCUCUCUGCUCCUCACCGAAACCUCCUCCCUUUUCAACUCCGAUUCAGACGAAACGCAACAAGGGCAUCGACGACGCGCCACUACUAGUAAGAACCUCUCCUCUUCCACAUCGUUUAUUUAUUUUAAGAAACAAGUAAAAGAAAACAAAAAAACAGAACCAAAUAAAAAAAACAACAAGGGUGACGUGGGGCGGAAGCGGUUGCUGCGGUGCCAAGGCUAGGAAGAAGGCUGCUGUUGAAGACUCUAGGUUUCCAAAUUUUUCAGUUUCGGGCUGAUUUGGAUUGUAGGGUAAUCGGGCUACAUCCAUGUAAAAAUGGACUAUUUACUAUUUUAUUUGGGCUUAUUUUUGGUUUGUAAUAUGGAUAUUAUUUGAAUUUGUUCUGUUUUCUGCUUAUGCGGGCCCGGGCCCAAAAUUGAGUAUUAUAGUGUUGAUUGAGCUAUAGCCCGUUCGAUAUUAAUAUUGUUGUUAAUGUAAGAAAAUAUAAGUUUGAGUGUUCUAAAGUGUAUUAUACUUUAGAAAAAGUUAUAAAUAAUUCUAAAUUUAAUAUGAAAGAGCAAAAAUUAUAACAAACAAAAAAAUAGUUGUGGGUGUUAGUGAAUGAAUAAAGGUAGGUGAUGGGAAUUGAAAGAGGUGUCGAGAGAGAGUGAAGAAUGAAAGUCAGUAAAUGGACGGUGGGUUCAAUUAAUACCCCUCUCCCUGUUUUUG
Molecule: long non-coding RNA, 9461 nt
Filed under: Gossypium barbadense (sea-island cotton)
Lineage: Eukaryota; Viridiplantae; Streptophyta; Magnoliopsida; Malvales; Malvaceae
Description: long non-coding RNA (GBAR_LNC021797)
Source: RNAcentral